Molecule: small RNA, 560 nt
Filed under: Histoplasma ohiense
Lineage: Eukaryota; Fungi; Ascomycota; Eurotiomycetes; Onygenales; Ajellomycetaceae
Description: hypothetical lncRNA
Source: RNAcentral
GCUGGUCGGAUUGCCAUGCCUUCAGUUCAAACGAGGAUAGCUCAGGCAGGGCUUCAAAGUCAGUCUCGGUUUUGCUUUUCAAACAAAGGAAAAUCACUUUCGCAUACGGGAAAGGGGUCCGAGAUAUGUAACAUAUGUAUGUGAAAAAGGGAAAAAGCCGAGCGGAUUAUCGUCAGGAUCUCAAUUCGAUCCGGUAGUUCGAUGGGAGGGAACCCUAUAUAAGAACAUCCACUAUUCGGUCCCGUUGGAACACUUCGCCUUGAAACAAACCACUAUUCAAAUACCCGGAAAGAUUGAUACUAACGCUCCUAGUUUGAUAUCAUUUCCCCUCACUAAUAGCUAUAUGAAGAAUAAUAAUAGCUCAGUAAUCGAUUCUCGACUAGUUACUAUAUUAUGCACAAGACAGGAUGUACUGUACAUAGAGGGAAAGUCAGAAAGAUCAAAUAAAUAGAAACGGCUAAAAAUCAUCCUCAUCUGUUCAAGAACCCCAGACCGUCUCUGCUUUUCAUGAACCCCUCCAUAGCUGCGUCUCCUGCCUGUAUUGCAAGCCAGUAGAGCGA